AUAAAGACCACACACAGUCACAUACUGCUCACAUUACAUUACACACUAUCCCUUGUUUGUUCCUUCUUUCUUCCACCAGUCCUUUUCCUUAAGCCAAAAUCUCUCUCCAUCAACAUUCACACUCUCAUACUACACUCCAUAAACAUACCCACUCCCCCAUUUCUUGUUUUUGUUUCUUCUUCUUCUGAACCUCCAAAGCCAAGUCCUUUUCUUUGUAAAUUUCGUUCAUUCAUAUUACAAAACAAUAUCUCUCUGCCAAUAUGGAUCUUUAACAAACUACUCUUAAUUCCCCUUCUUUUUUUUUUUUUUCUAUCCACAUAACAAAUAUGUGUGCUAAUUGAAAUAUGCAUCUUUAGUACUCUUCAAAGAUGACGCCUUUCUUCCUCAAGAAAAUGCUCACUAGAUUUACCAUUCUUUAUUUUUCCUUCUUGUUUCAUCAUUGACAAAUCUGUUUUAACUGUUUCAUUUUCAACAUAACAUCUGUCACCCACAAUAGUGUUUAUCACCAUUCUUCUUCUUCUUCCACAUAUAACAAAUCUUUUGCUAAUUUCUAUCUCUAAACACUUGCAACAUUACCCCUUUCUUUCCAAGUUGGCAAAUCUGUCUAAUAUUCAUCCUUAAAAACUCUUCCAAUAUUACCCCUUGCAGUCACAUAGUGAAUGUACUACACACUCUAACCAGUUACUUUUUCUGCAAAUAUGCAUGGUUAACACAUCCGAGAUUACACCUUUAUUCAAGAAAUGCCUCCAGAAAACCCAUACCCACCACCCCUAGCACCCCUUCCAGUCUUCCCCACCACCUACCUCCCACCCCCACCCUCCUCUCACCACCACUCCCACUCCCCUCUCAUCCCACCUUUCAUAGCUGCUGCUUUUGGUUUAACCUUCUUCAUUCUUGCUGCCGUCAUAUACCGCAAAGUGUCACGCAACAGGACUGUUCCUGCAGAUCUGAAGUCACCUCCACCACCUCACAAGUUCACCUACUCGGUCCUCCGCCGUGCCACUGCUUCAUUUUCAGCUGCUAAUCGUCUUGGUCAAGGUGGAUUUGGUUCUGUUUACAAAGGUGUCCUUCCAUCUGGACAGGAGGUAGCCGUGAAGCUAAUGGAUGCUUCCGGAUCCCUCCAGGGCGAGAGAGAGUUUCACAAUGAACUCUCUCUAGCCUCGAGGAUAGACACUACGUCUUGCCAUCACGUAGUGCCUAUCCUCGGGUUCUCCUCCGAUGAAAAUGGUUAUAGACACCAUUGUUCUAGGCGGAGGAGGAGAAGGUUAGUUCUAGUGUAUGAAUAUAUGCAUAAUGGGAGUCUCCAAGAUGCUUUGUUAGAUAGGAAGUGUUCUGAGUUAAUGCAAUGGAGAAAGAGAUUUGAUAUUAUAAGUUCCAUUGCAAAGGGUGUUGAGUAUCUCCAUUACUCCUGUGAUCCUCCUAUAGUACAUGGAGAUAUUAAGCCGUCUAAUAUAUUGUUGGAUUACAAUUUUGAUGCAAAAAUAGCUGAUUUUGGACUAGCACAGUCUUUGACUAAAGAUGAUCAAGUUGUUGAGUCUUUUAUUGAAGAUGAGGAGAGAGUUGAGAAGGGGGAAAAAGGAGAAGGUUUUGAAAAUGUGGAGGAUAACGGGUCGAUUCUUGAAGGAAAUGAGAGUGUGGUCACUGAGGAGGUUGUGAUAAAUGUGGAUCAGUUGGGGGAGAGUUGUUAUGUGAGGGUGUUGGAUGGGGAUGCGGGAGGGGUGUCGCCUGAGAUGGGAGUUCCAUCAGAGGGGAUGGAAAAAACUAGUGUUUCUGAGGGUUUUUUUGAUGGGGUUAGUGUGGAUAGUGGAAUUUUGAAAGGGAUUGGGAGGGGAACUAGUCAAUCAGGUAGAGAUUGGUGGUGGAAACAGGACAAUGUAAAUGGUGGAUCAGAUUCUGGGAGGAUUAAGGACUAUGUGAUGGAAUGGAUUGGUAGUGAGAUCAGAAAAGAGAGGCCUAAGAAGGAUUGGAUCGCAACUACAAGUGCAGAAGAAGAUAUUGCCAAAGGGGGACAACAGAAGCAAAGAAAGAAACUUGAAUGGUGGGCAUCUUUGGAUGAGGAGAGACUUAGGAGAGAAAGGAAGAGUAGGAAGCCAAGAGAAUGGUGGAAGGAAGAGUUCUGUGAGGAGUUAGCCAAGAAAAAGAAGAAAAGGGAUCUCAAAAGUGGAGAAAUGUGGUGGCAAAGGGAUGAAGAGGUAGCGCAUGAAAGAAAGAGGAAGAAAAGCAGGGGAAGUAGGAGUAGCAUUGAUUGGUGGCUUGAUAAUUUCAGCGGUGAGUUUCGGAUUGGAAGACGAAGUAGUCAAGAUUUUGCCAGUGGAGAGAUUCCCAAGAGUGGAGGUGUGAGUAGUACCCCCAGUAUGAGAGGAACAGUUUGUUACAUCGCUCCAGAAUAUGGCGGUGGAGGGCAGCUCUCAGAGAAAUGCGACGUGUACAGUUUUGGUGUUUUGUUAUUGGUUUUGGUCUCAGGGAGAAGGCCACUCCAAGUUACAGCUUCUCCGAUGUCAGAAUUUGAGAGGGCUAAUCUAGUUUCAUGGGCUAGGCAACUUGCUCAUUCGGGCAAGCUUUUAGAUCUUGUUGAUCCCAAUAUUCAGUUACUCGAUAGAGAACAAGCAUUGCUUUGCAUCACAAUUGCUCUAAUUUGUUUACAGAGAUCACCUAUCAAGCGUCCCACAAUGAAAGAGAUUGUUGGGAUGCUUUGUGGUGACUCUGAGCCACCCCACUUGCCGUUUGAGUUUUCCCCUUCACCACCAUCCAAUUUCCCUUUCAAGUCCCGGAAAAAGGCCCGUUAUCUUUGGCUUUUGCUCCCACAGCUAGCUGAAUUGAAGGAAUCCCAGGCUAAAAGUACCUGAUAUGACUCUUUGCUUCCACUUUCUAAAAGGGGCGAGUCCACCAGUAAUUAUAAAAUUCAGUGCCCUUGAACUAUAAGGAGCUUGCUUUAUUGCUCUCAUAACUUACUUUUUUGGGUCCCAGAAGAUACAACCGUUGCUGGUCUGUUGCCUUAAAAAAGUAGGAUGAUCUUGUUUACAGUGUACUUGUUUCAUUGCAGAAUAAACCCCUCUUAUCCCACUAUCCCAGAGGUAAUUACAAACUAAUACUCCUAUAUGAAGUGCUUUUUUGUUUUGUAUACGCUGAUAAUGUAUUAGCUAAGUCAUCUCAGUGACCUAUACAAUGUUCUAGUAUAAACAUGUAGUUAUAACUGUUCAUACUGCAAAACAAAUGAUAUGCUUGGGGACAUAAGAGAGAAAAGUAACAACACUAUAUUGGGUUUCUUGAGAAAACUAAAGCAGCAAGCAAGAGCUUAACAAUAGCAAGUGCUGGUUUUAUGUUACCAUAGUUGAUAUAAUAUAUGACUGCUGUUCUAUUUUAUGUGUUUACAGCUCUUUGUUAUAGGAGCUAAAGAUAAUAUGAAUACCUAUAUAUUAUAGUUUGACAUAUAGGUCAUCCACAUUUAAGAAACAAAAAUGAUAUAGACACCAAAACGAUUUCACAUUCUUCCCGUUCAUUGGGGAUCAAUAACAGUUUUUGAUUACUAAAUAGUAAGUGAAAGUUAAACAGUAUUGUCAAAUAUGAGGAGAAGCUGAGUACUAUUCAGUACUACGGAAUUUGGUUAUUCUUGCAACCUACAAUUGUCAUUUUUAUGUCUCUUGAUAUGUUUAAUGAAGUGUAUAAGCAUCUCAAAUGUCGAUGUGAGUUGGUUCCUUUAGAAGAUGAUAACAGUCAUGGAGAUCAUUUAUGUUGGACAUACUCUAAUAGCACGGUUCAAAACAACAUCCGACAGAAAUGCAAGGAGGUCACUGGAAGUUGUCUUGUCAAAGAGGAACAGCACAAAUUUAGUUCUAACACAUGAACUGGUGUUAAAGGUGCCUACUUUUGUUUACAUAACAUGUCCCUCAAAAAAAGAAAACCUUUGACCCACAAUGCUUUAUGAUAAAAUCAGACAAGACACGUUGGUUGUCUUAGCAAAUCAUUGUAGUUUUGAGAUUAUCCUUUCCUCUUCCCUACAUCAUAUAAGCCCUCUGGAUUCACUAUAUGAAAUGUUAGUGUGUCAUCUAGAUAUUUAUGUGCAUUUAGUUUAAUUUUUCUGGUAUAUAGCUGUCCUACUUAUGGAUACGUGUAAAGAAUUAUAUUGAAAAAUGGGGGCCCGGUGCACUAAAUUCCCGUUUUUAUUGUACAAACCUUAUCUUGCAUUUUUGCAAGAUGCUAUUUUCACAAUUUAAACUCGUGACUUUUAGGUAACAUGACAACAACUUUAUCAGUUACCAAAGACUCUCCGAAUUAUAUAAUCGAUUCUGAUUAGUUUGGAAACGAGUCAGUUGAUUGAUUGAUUUACUAAUAGUCAAGCAGUCACUAUUAAAUUGUCUCUCAUUCAAAUCCUAGUUGUCGAGCAAUGACAGGUUGCGGAGAAAAAAAAAUCAUUUGUUGGAGUGGAUUUCUUUGCUUCAUAAUUUGAAAGUGAUGGUGGUCAUUUUUAUUUGUCAAAAUUACUUUCUGGAGCUGUACUAUGUCGGUUUUGUAAGUUGAAUACUUUUACUUAUAUGUUUGUCAUUUGGACUCCUAAAUUUAUUAAAAAUUAAUAUUUUAAAU
This is an RNA transcript of Capsicum annuum, 4581 nucleotides long. It is a transcript of the gene named receptor-like serine/threonine-protein kinase At2g45590, with no coding region annotated. The record is from RefSeq and is a predicted model, not a curated record. NCBI's taxonomy places the organism in Eukaryota, Viridiplantae, Streptophyta, Magnoliopsida, Solanales, Solanaceae. The transcript is spliced from 3 exons.